GCCGGGCAUGGUGGCGCGCGCCUGUAAUCCUAGCUACUCGGGAGGCUGAGGUAGGAGAAUCGCUUGAACCCAGGAGGCAGAGGUUGCAGUGAGCCAAGAUCAUGCCACUGCACUCCAGCCUGGGUGACAGAGUGAGACUCUAUCUCAA
RNAcentral lists this small RNA (148 nucleotides) under Papio anubis (olive baboon). RNAcentral describes it as "Metazoan signal recognition particle RNA (ENSPANG00000041259.1)". It matches the Rfam family "Metazoan signal recognition particle RNA". From Rfam's summary of the family: The signal recognition particle (SRP) is a universally conserved ribonucleoprotein. It is involved in the co-translational targeting of proteins to membranes. The record is from Rfam by way of RNAcentral. Lineage: Eukaryota; Metazoa; Chordata; Mammalia; Primates; Cercopithecidae.